CCUACGGGAGGCAGCAGUGAGGAAUAUUGGUCAAUGGUCGGGAGACUGAACCAGCCAAGCCGCGUGAGGGAUGAAGGUACAGAGUAUCGUAAACCUCUUUUGUCAGGGAACAAAGGCGGGGACGUGUCCCCGGAUGAGUGUACCUGAAGAAAAAGCAUCGGCUAACUCCGUGCCAGCAGCCGCGGUAAUACGGAGGAUGCGAGCGUUAUCCGGAUUUAUUGGGUUUAAAGGGUGCGCAGGCGGAGGUGCAAGUCAGCGGUCAAAUUGCGGGGCUCAACCCCGUACUGCCGUUGAAACUGCAUCCCUUGAGUGCGCGAGAAGUAUGCGGAAUGCGUGGUGUAGCGGUGAAAUGCAUAGAUAUCACGCAGAACUCCGAUUGCGAAGGCAGCAUACCGGCGCGCAACUGACGCUCAUGCACGAAAGCGUGGGUAUCGAACAGGAUUAGAUACCCGGGUAGUC
This 459-nucleotide ribosomal RNA is filed under the name uncultured bacterium. Its description in RNAcentral is "partial 16S ribosomal RNA". It matches the Rfam family "Bacterial small subunit ribosomal RNA", at positions 338 to 795 of the family's 1533-position model. The record is from RNAcentral.